This 73-nucleotide transfer RNA is filed under the name Candidatus Sericytochromatia bacterium. It matches the Rfam family "tRNA". Rfam says of the family: Transfer RNA (tRNA) molecules are approximately 80 nucleotides in length. Their secondary structure includes four short double-helical elements and three loops (D, anti-codon, and T loops). Lineage: Bacteria; Bacillati; Candidatus Sericytochromatia. The record is from Rfam by way of RNAcentral.
GCCGAUGUAGCUCAGAUGGUAGAGCAAUGGUUUCGUAAACCAUAGGUCAGGGGUUCGAUUCCCCUCGUCGGCA